Molecule: ribosomal RNA, 660 nt
Rfam family: Bacterial small subunit ribosomal RNA
UAGUGGCGAACGGGUGAGUAACACGUGGGCAAUCUGCCCUGCACUCUGGGACAAGCCCUGGAAACGGGGUCUAAUACCGGAUAACACUCCUCCUCGCAUGGGGAGGGGUUAAAAGCUCCGGCGGUGCAGGAUGAGCCCGCGGCCUAUCAGCUUGUUGGUGAGGUAGUGGCUCACCAAGGCGACGACGGGUAGCCGGCCUGAGAGGGCGACCGGCCACACUGGGACUGAGACACGGCCCAGACUCCUACGGGAGGCAGCAGUGGGGAAUAUUGCACAAUGGGCGAAAGCCUGAUGCAGCGACGCCGCGUGAGGGAUGACGGCCUUCGGGUUGUAAACCUCUUUCAGCAGGGAAGAAGCGAAAGUGACGGUACCUGCAGAAGAAGCGCCGGCUAACUACGUGCCAGCAGCCGCGGUAAUACGUAGGGCGGGGAGCGUUGUCCGGAAUUAUUGGGCGUAAAGAGCUCGUAGGCGGCUUGUCGCGUCGGUUGUGAAAGCCCGGGGCUUAACCCCGGGUCUGCAGUCGAUACGGGCAGGCUAGAGUUCGGUAGGGGAGAUCGGAAUUCCUGGUGUAGCGGUGAAAUGCGCAGAUAUCAGGAGGAACACCGGUGGCGAAGGCGGAUCUCUGGGCCGAUACUGACGCUGAGGAGCGAAAGCGUGGGG